RNAcentral lists this ribosomal RNA (700 nucleotides) under uncultured bacterium. RNAcentral describes it as "bacterial SSU rRNA". It matches the Rfam family "Bacterial small subunit ribosomal RNA", at positions 94 to 791 of the family's 1533-position model. The record is from RNAcentral.
ACCGGCGCACGGGUGAGUAACACGUAUGCAACCUGCCCGUGGCAGGGGGAUAAGCGGGGGAAACCCCGUCUAAUACCGCGUAACGCGGCCUAGGGACAUCCCAAGGCCGCCAAAGGGAGCAAUCCCGGCCACGGAUGGGCAUGCGGCGCAUUAGCUAGUCGGCGGGGUAACGGCCCACCGAGGCGACGAUGCGUAGGGGUUCUGAGAGGAAGGUCCCCCACACUGGUACUGAGACACGGACCAGACUCCUACGGGAGGCAGCAGUGAGGAAUAUUGGUCAAUGGCCGAGAGGCUGAACCAGCCAAGUCGCGUGAGGGAUGACGGCCCUACGGGUUGUAAACCUCUUUUGUCGGGGAGCAAAGGGAGUCACGUGUGACUCAUUGAGAGUACCCGAAGAAAAAGCAUCGGCUAACUCCGUGCCAGCAGCCGCGGUAAUACGGAGGAUGCGAGCGUUAUCCGGAUUUAUUGGGUUUAAAGGGUGCGCAGGCGGAGGUGCAAGUCAGCGGUCAAAUUGCGGGGCUCAACCCCGUACUGCCGUUGAAACUGCAUCCCUUGAGUGCGCGAGAAGUAUGCGGAAUGCGUGGUGUAGCGGUGAAAUGCAUAGAUAUCACGCAAAACUCCGAUUGCGAAGGCAGCAUACCGGCGCGCAACUGACGCUNAUGCACGAAAGCGUGGUUUCGAACAGGAUNAAUACCUUGUA